Molecule: ribosomal RNA, 1047 nt
Filed under: uncultured bacterium
Lineage: Bacteria
Description: bacterial SSU rRNA
Rfam family: Bacterial small subunit ribosomal RNA
Source: RNAcentral
UGCAGUCGACGAGAAAUCUCGAGCUUGCUCGAGAGAGUAAAGUGGCGCACGGGUGAGUAACGCGUGGGUAACCUGCCCUUAAGCCUGGGAUAAUCCACCGAAAGGUGGCCUAAUACCGGAUGCCGUCACGAGAACUCCGGUUCUCGGGAUGAAAACUGACCUCUUCAUGAAAGUUGGCGCUUAGGGAGGGGCUCGCGUACCAUUAGCUUGUUGGUAGGGUAAUGGCCUACCAAGGCGACGAUGGUUAGCUGGUCUGAGAAGACAACCAGCCACACUGGAACUGAGACACGGUCCAGACUCCUACGGGAGGCAGCAGUGAGGAAUCUUGCGCAAUGGGGGAAACCCUGACGCAGCGACGCCGCGUGGGUGAAGAAGGCCUUCGGGUCGUAAAGCUCUGUCAAGUGGGAAUAACGUCCUGUUGUUAAUGGCAGCAGGAUCUGAAGGUACCACUAAAGGAAGCACCGGCUAACUCCGUGCCAGCAGCCGCGGUAAUACGGAGGGUGCCAGCGUUAUUCGGAUUUAUUGGGCGUAAAGAGCGUGUAGGCGGUUGGGACAGUCAGAUGUGAAAUCCUUCUGCUCAACGGAAGAAGUACGUCUGAAACUGCCUAACUUGAGUACGAGAGAGGAAAGUGGAAUUCCCAGUGUAGAGGUGAAAUUCGUAGAUAUUGGGAGGAACACCCGUGGCGAAGGCGACUUUCUGGAUCGAUACUGACGCUGAGACGCGAAAGCGUGGGGAGCAAACAGGAUUAGAUACCCUGGUAGUCCACGCCGUAAACGAUGGGAACUAGGUGUAGUGGGUAUUGAUCCCUACUGUGCCGAAGCUAACGCAUUAAGUUCCCCGCCUGGGGGAGUACGGGUCGCAAGGCUAAAACUCAAAGGGAAUUGACGGGGGGCCCGCACAAGCGGGUGGAGCAUGUGGUUUUAAUUCYAUGCAMCSCGAAGAACCUUACCUGKGGUUUGAMUUCCUCUGACAGUCCCUGAARAGGGAAYYUUCCSAAUUWWUCGGGAACAAAUGACAGGCUUGAUGGCUGUCUCUACCCUCUGUCC